Molecule: RNA transcript, 1188 nt
Organism: Mercurialis annua (annual mercury)
Lineage: Eukaryota; Viridiplantae; Streptophyta; Magnoliopsida; Malpighiales; Euphorbiaceae
Gene name: 50S ribosomal protein 5 alpha, chloroplastic-like
Exons: 4
Source: RefSeq, a predicted model, not a curated record
UUGGAUGUUUUUGAAACAGUGAUACAAAUCCCGGUGGUAAACUAAUUCUUUGUUCAAUAUUUAAUUGGUUGGGCAUGUCCUAAAGCAGAGGAUGAUGAUCAGGAAAAUGGGUAUGGUUUUGAGGAGUUCAGACUCUCCACUCUCGUCGUCUUCAUUUUCCGCUUCCGUACUUCCAUGGCCAAAACCCUAUCCUCUAUCUCCAGUUUCCAUUUGCAGGUUCCCCAUCAAACCCAUUGCUAUGCUCUCCCAAUCACUCAGUGCACUUCCUCUCUUGAAACCCUUUACCACAAAUGCAUCGACUGAUGUUACGGAUGCCGUCUCUGCAACUGACGACGACGAAGACGACGAUAAUUUUCUGUUUUACAACCUUCCUCUUGACCCCAAGUUGCAACAGAAGCUUGAGCAUAAGAUGCGGAUGAAGUUUUCCAAGAAUGUACGUCUUCGCACCAAGAAACUUGAUCGGAAACGCAGGAUGAGAAAGAAAGCACAUAACCCCAAGGCUGUCUAAUUUAGGUCUAAUGAACUAAGGGUUCGUAAGCGUAUGACUAUUUGGUUCUUAGCUUAAAAAGAUGAGAGUACUGAGUAAACGGAUAAAAUGAGAUAUGAGAGAAAUGUGGAAGGUGUUACAGUCAUGGGUUUGCCAUCUGAGUUAUAGGUCCAGCGACCUGUAUAUCAAAGAUUGCGUUUUCCGACAGGCAAAAGGUAUGGCUUGGGAGUUAAAAGGUUUCUAAAGAUUUCCUUUAUUUUAAUGCUGACAAUCAGUUUCCUGAUCUAGCCCAUACUUUUUGAUAACCUGUAUCUUAUAUAUGGCUGUGAAGUUCAUCAAGGUCAUGAUGAUUUGGAUUAUGAGCCUGAGAAACCAUCUUCUCCAUAUUUCCCUUUUCUUUCUCCAUUCAGUACUAAUUGAAGAUAAGUUGAUACCAUCAAAAUCCACAUUAUCAAGAUAUUUGAAGUCAUUGAAAAAAAAAAGUAGGCUGAAUAUUGUCCUUCUGUGCCUGGCACCUAAUUGUAGCAUUCAAGUUACCUAGAGAACAUGGCAGUGAAAUGGUUUAGACUGCAUUUUGAGACAAAAUGUAGAAGAUGAUUGCUUUUUGUAUUUAGCUUUCUUAUGAAAGCAAGGAUUAAAUUCACGUUGCAUGUAAUGUAUAGUUAUUAUUUUUGCUCUCGGUGUUUGUCGAUUUUCUUUAA